RNAcentral lists this ribosomal RNA (200 nucleotides) under uncultured bacterium. RNAcentral's name for it is "partial 16S ribosomal RNA". It matches the Rfam family "Bacterial small subunit ribosomal RNA", at positions 1303 to 1500 of the family's 1533-position model. The record is from RNAcentral.
GGCUGAAACUCGCCUACAUGAAGCUGGAGUUGCUAGUAAUCGCGAAUCAGCAUGUCGCGGUGAAUACGUUCCCGGGCCUUGUACACACCGCCCGUCACACCAUGAGAGUUGGCAAUACCCAACGUACGUGAUCUAACCCGCAAGGGAGGAAGCGUCCUAAGGUAGGGUCAGCGAUUGGGGUGAAGUCGUAACAAGGUAUC